This 90-nucleotide transfer RNA is filed under the name Hibiscus cannabinus. RNAcentral describes it as "tRNA-Leu". Lineage: Eukaryota; Viridiplantae; Streptophyta; Magnoliopsida; Malvales; Malvaceae. The record is from RNAcentral.
GUCACGAAUCGAAUAAAAGGUAGUUCGCAGGUUUCAGUUGUCGCUCAUGCCCUUUAACCUGAAGUCUUGGUUCAAAUCCAGCUCGUGACA